RNAcentral lists this non-coding RNA (29 nucleotides) under Mus musculus (house mouse). Lineage: Eukaryota; Metazoa; Chordata; Mammalia; Rodentia; Muridae. The record is from RNAcentral.
UGAUGCUAAAACUGGAAUGUCCCAUUAGU